This 492-nucleotide unclassified non-coding RNA is filed under the name Hevea brasiliensis (rubber tree). The record is from RNAcentral. Lineage: Eukaryota; Viridiplantae; Streptophyta; Magnoliopsida; Malpighiales; Euphorbiaceae.
GGGGGAGAUUGAUUUACCGGAAAUUGAUUUGCGAUGAUGACGUCAUCACCUCCUCGGCAGUCCGACGACGGAGGAGGAGGAUCGAAUUAUAUUCAACACCAAGUUACAAAAUUUGAUACCCUUCCUGGUGUAGCAAUCAGAUAUGGCGUUGAGGUGUCUGAUAUUAAGAAGUUGAAUGGGCUGGUUUCGGAUCUCCAAAUGUUUGCUCGAAAGACACUUCAAAUACCAUUACCUGGGAGGCAUCCACCAUCACCUGCUGUCUCAAAUGGUCAAGACACCCAAGGGCCAAGCAGCUCUGAGCAGAUCCCUCCGAGGAACAAAUACCCUAAUUUGUUUGGUUCAUUUCAAUCCCUGAAAUUGAAGUCUUCCUCCCAGCAAAGAGUUUCACCAGCCAUGAGCUCUUUACUAGGUUAUCAGGGCCCUAAACUGGCAGAUCAGAAAGUUGCAUCUGAAGGUUUUGAAAUGGCUGUCUAUCGGAAAGGAGUAUCACAU